RNAcentral lists this ribosomal RNA (173 nucleotides) under uncultured soil bacterium. RNAcentral describes it as "partial 16S ribosomal RNA". It matches the Rfam family "Bacterial small subunit ribosomal RNA", at positions 339 to 524 of the family's 1533-position model. The record is from RNAcentral.
CUACGGGAGGCAGCAGUGGGGAAUAUUGCACAAUGGGCGAAAGCCUGAUGCAGCGACGCCGCGUGAGGGAUGACGGCCUUCGGGUUGUAAACCUCUUUCAGCAGGGACGAAGCGCAAGUGACGGUACCUGCAGAAGAAGCACCGGCUAACUACGUGCCAGCAGCCGCGGUAAU